Long non-coding RNA from Myxocyprinus asiaticus (Chinese sucker), 2507 nucleotides. RefSeq lists it as uncharacterized. The transcript is spliced from 4 exons. Lineage: Eukaryota; Metazoa; Chordata; Actinopteri; Cypriniformes; Catostomidae. The record is from RefSeq and is a predicted model, not a curated record.
CUGUCUUUCUCACUCGUUUUGUUUUUAAGACAAGACCGAACACGCUAGAAAAUUACAGAUGGGAUGGUUGAACUCUCUGGUGAAUAAUGCAAAUAUGCAGAUAAAAGAGUGAGGAGAUGGAACAACAGAGCAAGAUUAAAUGAGCUCAUUGCAGAGGUGCUAGGUCACACAAGGCAGGCGCUCGAUCUCACGACUUCUUUCACGACACCAGCCUUAAUGCGAUAUGACGGAGACUUGCCUGGCGGUAAAUGGAAAGUGAUGGCAGAGGGAGACCUGAUAAAGCACGCCAGAGCGUCAGAGUGGGGGAGAGAGUGGCAGAAGUGGUGUCUGAGUGUGGCCACAACUUAUUAAGAGUCUGUAUUUGUUUAAGUUCUUUUGGGAUACUGGAAGCCCAUGAUUUGAGUCAGCUACUGAGAGCCUGUUUUAUUUAUCCUGGUGUGUGAGAAAGAGAAAAUAAAUACUCACCUCAACUGUUCACUGUCUCCUGACUCCUCCAUUGCCCACAAACUCACAGUCAUGUCCAACUCGAAAUGAACAAGGGCUGUUACUGUGUUAUGUGUACUUGCUGCACUAGUUGUUUUGGUUACAAUUAACAUGAAACGUGAAAGUUCAUUAUUGAGUGAGUACAUUAAAAACAUGUUCAAAACUCUGUCCUUGUCUUACCCUGAUUCACUAUUUUAAGCCUACAAUGAUGAUUUUAGUGCUGUCAGGUUGGAUUUGGUGCAAAAUCACAGGCUUGCGUCAUUUUUCUUUGAGUGUUAAGGUUAUGUCCAUAACUUCAGAAAAGGAGGACCGGCUAUGUGAUGUAUGUUUUGGCUGGCGAAGCUAUGGCGGUUCAGUCAGUCACUGUUCAGGACAGCAGCAGCAAGACAUCAAUCUCUGGAUGGGUGUUUAACUAUUAACUGUUUGGCAAAGUUGUUUACUUGCUAUAAUGCUAGGAUAUGUUUUCUGGUAGGGUUAUUGAAGCUUACAUUGGUUAUAAUGCUUUAGUGAAUCGAACAUUACUUAUGUGUUUAAUGAUCGCCAUGUGUUUAAUAGGCUAUGUUUUCCUGUGAAGUUACUGUAACAUGUUUACUAACACCGUGACCUAACCAGACGCGACGCGACGCCCCGACACGAGAUAAAAGGUAUCUUUUCCAUGUUAAUCAGAGUUUUCGUCCUAACUAGCCACGACAUGACGGGCGACAGUGACAGGACAUUCUAUUUUUGAAAUAGUUUCUAUUUCUGCGACGUCGCACCAGCCAGCACAGUCACCAAAUGGGUCAGUAUAUGCAGUAUAUUACAGCUGGCAUCUCACUAGUUGGUUCACAAAAACUUGAUUUUGGCCGAGGGUGUCACACAUCUACCGAAUGUUGUGCUUGUGUCGCGCUUGGUUAGGAAAUGGUGUAAUACUCAUGACUUUUGAGUAUUUUAUAACAUUGCUGCUGUUUCGAUUCCAUUAGUGUGUGCAUUGCUGUUUUCUUAUUUUUAUCUUAUUAUUAAGUUGUUGUCACUUUCCAUUGCCCUUUUAGCCUUUUAAAUUUCAUCUAAAUGCUAUUAUAGGUAAGUGUGACAAGGAGGAGGGCGUUGCUGGGCCGUGAGGACACACGCCCGGCGCUGAAUUGUCCUAAUCAGUAGGGAGGGGGAUAAAGACGAGCCAGGGACGCCUGUUCGAGAGAGAGACACACGCAACCGCUGUGUGUGUGUGUCUAUGUUUCUUUAAGUUGAUUUAUACCAUUAAAGUUAUGUUGACUGUUUUGCCAGUUCCAGCCUCCUCCUUGCCCAUCUUGUGAACCCCGUUACAUUGGUGCCGAAACCCGGGAAGGAGGAGGGAUGCGCUGUUGUGGAGUCCUCGCCGGGAGUCGGAGGAACCACUGCUGUCCGCCAGGAAGGGGAGGAGCCGUUACCGUCCACGAGGCUCGGAGGACUUGCUGCCAUCCACCAGGGGAGGAGCAGCUGUCGUCUGCCAGAGGGUGGAGGAGUGGCUGAGGACCAGGCGACGGCAUGUCCGGGGACCGGGGACUCUCUCUCCAGGAAGGGAGGGGAGUAUGUCAUACCAGAGGUUUCCCCGGCCUGAAUCAGGCAGUGGAGGAGUGUGACGAGGUGGAGGGUGUGGCCAGGCCAUGAGGACGCACGCCCUGUGCUGAAUUGUCCUAAUCAGCCAGGAGGGGGAUAAAGAUGAGCCGGGGGGGCCAGUUCGAGAGAGAGAGAGACACACUACUGUGUUACACUACUUAUACCAUUAAAAGUUAUGUUGACUGUUCUGCCGGUUCCCGCCUUCUCACCCAUCUUGUGAACCCCGUUACAGUAAGGUAUAAGGCAGUUCCCCAUAAAUUUAUACUCAUCUCAAGUUGUUUAUAAUUUACAGAUUUCAUAGCACAGAAAUGUCCAAUUUUAUUUGUUUAGCAUGUGACCAUCUCUCUAUUAUAACUUUACUUCAAAUAAAUGAUUAAAGAAACUGUUUAUUAUUGUAAUUGUUACAUUGCAUGUUUCUGCAUAUUAUUUUAAUGUUUAAUAAACUAUAUUUC